AAACCAACAGGGAUUGCCUCAGUAACGGCGAGUGAAGCGGCAACAGCUCAAAUUUGAAAUCUGGCGUCUUUGGCGUCCGAGUUGUAAUUUGUAGAGGAUGCUUCUGGGCAGUGGUCGGUCUAAGUUCCUUGGAACAGGACGUCAUAGAGGGUGAGAAUCCCGUAUGUGAUUGACUUACACCUUACACGUAGCUCCUUCGACGAGUCGAGUUGUUUGGGAAUGCAGCUCUAAAUGGGAGGUAAAUUUCUUCUAAAGCUAAAUAUCUGCCAGAGACCGAUAGCGCACAAGUAGAGUGAUCGAAAGAUGAAAAGCACUUUGGAAAGAGAGUUAAAAAGCACGUGAAAUUGUUGAAAGGGAAGCGUUUGCAACCAGACUUGCCUGCGGUGUUCAACCGGUCUUUUGGCUGGUCUACUCAUCGUAAGCAGGCCAACAUCACUUGGGGCCGUGGGAUAAUAGGUCUGGAAUGUAGCCCCUCGGGGUGUUAUAGCCAAUCCUGAUGCCACGAGCGCCGAGUGAGGUCCGCGCAUUAGCUAGGAUGUUGGCGUAAUGGUUGUAAACGGC
RNAcentral lists this ribosomal RNA (561 nucleotides) under uncultured fungus. Its description in RNAcentral is "eukaryotic LSU rRNA". It matches the Rfam family "Eukaryotic large subunit ribosomal RNA", at positions 62 to 648 of the family's 3401-position model. Lineage: Eukaryota; Fungi. The record is from RNAcentral.